GAUGAACGCUGGCGGCGUGCCUAAUACAUGCCAGUCGAGCGAACAGAUGAGGAGCUUGCUCCUCUGACGUUAGCGGCGGACGGGUGAGUAACACGUGGAUAACCUACCUAUAAGACUGGGAUAACUUCGGGAAACCGGAGCUAAUACCGGAUAAUAUAUUGAACCGCAUGGUUCAAUAGUGAAAGACGGUUUUGCUGUCACUUAUAGAUGGAUCCGCGCCGCAUUAGCUAGUUGGUAAGGUAACGGCUUACCAAGGCAACGAUGCGUAGCCGACCUGAGAGGGUGAUCGGCCACACUGGAACUGAGACACGGUCCAGACUCCUACGGGAGGCAGCAGUAGGGAAUCUUCCGCAAUGGGCGAAAGCCUGACGGAGCAACGCCGCGUGAGUGAUGAAGGUCUUCGGAUCGUAAAACUCUGUUAUUAGGGAAGAACAAAUGUGUAAGUAACUAUGCACGUCUUGACGGUACCUGAUCAGAAAGCCACGGCUAACUACGUG
This 497-nucleotide ribosomal RNA is filed under the name uncultured bacterium. Its description in RNAcentral is "partial 16S ribosomal RNA". It matches the Rfam family "Bacterial small subunit ribosomal RNA", at positions 28 to 507 of the family's 1533-position model. The record is from RNAcentral.